Molecule: transfer RNA, 73 nt
Filed under: Salmo salar (Atlantic salmon)
Lineage: Eukaryota; Metazoa; Chordata; Actinopteri; Salmoniformes; Salmonidae
Rfam family: tRNA
About the family: Transfer RNA (tRNA) molecules are approximately 80 nucleotides in length. Their secondary structure includes four short double-helical elements and three loops (D, anti-codon, and T loops).
Source: Rfam by way of RNAcentral
GUAUCCUUAGCUGAGUUGGUAGGGUAUGGCGCUUGCAAAGCCAGGGUUGUGGGUUUGAUUCACACGGGGGACC